GAGCACUACGGCGUCUUACCAUGCAAGUCGAACGAUGAACCUCCUUCGGGAGGGGAUUAGUGGCGAACGGGUGAGUAACACGUGGGCAAUCUGCCCUGCACUCUGGGACAAGCCCUGGAAACGGGGUCUAAUACCGGAUACGACUCGGGAGGGCAUCCUUCCGGGUGGAAAGCUCCGGCGGUGCAGGAUGAGCCCGCGGCCUAUCAGCUUGUUGGUGGGGUGAUGGCCUACCAAGGCGACGACGGGUAGCCGGCCUGAGAGGGCGACCGGCCACACUGGGACUGAGACACGGCCCAGACUCCUACGGGAGGCAGCAGUGGGGAAUAUUGCACAAUGGGCGAAAGCCUGAUGCAGCGACGCCGCGUGAGGGAUGACGGCCUUCGGGUUGUAAACCUCUUUCAGCAGGGAAGAAGCGCAAGUGACGGUACCUGCAGAAGAAGCGCCGGCUAACUACGUGCCAGCAGCCGCGGUAAUACGUAGGGCGCAAGCGUUGUCCGGAAUUAUUGGGCGUAAAGAGCUCGUAGGCGGCUUGUCGCGUCGGAUGUGAAAGCUCGGGGCUUAACCCCGGGUCUGCAUUCGAUACGGGCAGGCUAUAGG
RNAcentral lists this ribosomal RNA (597 nucleotides) under Streptomyces sp. NIOT-BARREN08. Its description in RNAcentral is "bacterial SSU rRNA". It matches the Rfam family "Bacterial small subunit ribosomal RNA", at positions 31 to 647 of the family's 1533-position model. The record is from RNAcentral. Lineage: Bacteria; Bacillati; Actinomycetota; Actinomycetes; Kitasatosporales; Streptomycetaceae.